CAGUCGCCGCGGGAAUACGAAGGGUGCAAGCGUUACUCGGAAUUACUGGGCGUAAAGCGUGCGUAGGUGGUGGUUUAAGUCCGUUGUGAAAGCCCUGGGCUCAACCUGGGAAUUGCAGUGGAUACUGGGUCACUAGAGUGUGGUAGAGGAUAGUGGAAUUUCCGGUGUAGCGGUGAAAUGCGUAGAGAUCUGGAGGAAUACCGGUGGCGAAGGCGGCCCCCUGGACAAAGACUGACGCUCAGGUGCGAAAGCGUGGGGAGCAAACAGGAUUAGAUACCCGCGUAGUCCCUGUCUCUUAUAC
Molecule: ribosomal RNA, 301 nt
Filed under: uncultured bacterium
Lineage: Bacteria
Description: partial 16S ribosomal RNA
Rfam family: Bacterial small subunit ribosomal RNA
Source: RNAcentral